RNAcentral lists this ribosomal RNA (604 nucleotides) under uncultured bacterium. RNAcentral describes it as "bacterial SSU rRNA". It matches the Rfam family "Bacterial small subunit ribosomal RNA", at positions 67 to 676 of the family's 1533-position model. The record is from RNAcentral.
UUUGACAGAGGAUUCGUCCAAUGGAUGAGGUUACCUAGUGGCGGACGGGUGAGUAACGCGUGAGUAACCUGCCCUGGAGUGGGGAAUAACAGCUGGAAACAGCUGCUAAUACCGCAUAAUGCAGUUGGGUCGCAUGGCUCUGACUGCCAAAGAUUUAUCGCUCUGGGAUGGACUCGCGUCUGAUUAGCUAGUUGGUGGGGCAACGGCCCACCAAGGCGACGAUCAGUAGCCGGACUGAGAGGUUGGCCGGCCACAUUGGGACUGAGACACGGCCCAGACUCCUACGGGAGGCAGCAGUGGGGAAUAUUGGGCAAUGGGCGCAAGCCUGACCCAGCAACGCCGCGUGAAGGAAGAAGGCUUUCGGGUUGUAAACUUCUUUUGUCAGGGACGAAGCAAGUGACGGUACCUGACGAAUAAGCCACGGCUAACUACGUGCCAGCAGCCGCGGUAAUACGUAGGUGGCAAGCGUUAUCCGGAUUUACUGGGUGUAAAGGGCGUGUAGGCGGGGAAGCAAGUCAGAUGUGAAAACCACGGGCUCAACCUGUGGCCUGCAUUUGAAACUGUUUUUCUUGAGUGCUGGAGAGGCAAUCGGAAUUCCGUGUGU